RNAcentral lists this ribosomal RNA (429 nucleotides) under Bacillota bacterium. Its description in RNAcentral is "Firmicutes bacterium partial 16S ribosomal RNA". It matches the Rfam family "Bacterial small subunit ribosomal RNA", at positions 355 to 776 of the family's 1533-position model. Lineage: Bacteria; Bacillati; Bacillota. The record is from RNAcentral.
UAGGGAAUCUUCGGCAAUGGACGGAAGUCUGACCGAGCAACGCCGCGCGAGUGAAGAAGGUUCUCGGAUCGUAAAGCUCUGUUGUUAGAGAAGAACGUUGGUAGGAGUGGAAAAUCUACCAAGUGACGGUAACUAACCAGAAAGGGACGGCUAACUACGUGCCAGCAGCCGCGGUAAUACGUAGGUCCCGAGCGUUGUCCGGAUUUAUUGGGCGUAAAGCGAGCGCAGGCGGUUCUUUAAGUCUGAAGUUAAAGGCAGUGGCUUAACCAUUGUACGCUUUGGAAACUGGAGGACUUGAGUGCAGAAGGGGAGAGUGGAAUUCCAUGUGUAGCGGUGAAGUGCGUAGAUAUAUGGAGGAACACCGGUGGCGAAAGCGGCUCUCUGGUCUGUAACUGACGCUGAGGCUCGAAAGCGUGGGGAGCAAACAGG